GUUAUAAUUAUGUAUUUAUUAAUGUAUAAUAUAACUUUAAAUGUAAGCUUCUGAAAUGAAACUGUAUAUUUUAUGUUCAAAAAAUUGCUUUUACAAACCUCAUUUGUCUAUCUACAUCGUAAAACCCAUAACUGCCUGUUUCAAAAGUGAAAGUAUUGCUGGAAAUAACAUAAACAUAUGCAUAAAGCGCACCACUGUACAUUAUUGAUUUACAUGUCUAUCAAUAAGUAAAAUUAAUACAAGAUCCAACGAUUGGAUGCAGGAGUGGACAUUGAGUGAACUUAAAUCUUGUUUCUAUAAUUGAUUUACAAAAUAUCUGUUUAAAUCAGUGUAAGAAAACUGGUUAAUACUAAAAUUGACAU
Molecule: long non-coding RNA, 362 nt
Filed under: Mytilus galloprovincialis (Mediterranean mussel)
Lineage: Eukaryota; Metazoa; Mollusca; Bivalvia; Mytilida; Mytilidae
Source: RNAcentral